This 72-nucleotide transfer RNA is filed under the name Octopus vulgaris (common octopus). It matches the Rfam family "tRNA". Rfam says of the family: Transfer RNA (tRNA) molecules are approximately 80 nucleotides in length. Their secondary structure includes four short double-helical elements and three loops (D, anti-codon, and T loops). Further hydrogen bonds mediate the characteristic L-shaped molecular structure. tRNAs have two regions of fundamental functional importance: the anti-codon, which is responsible for specific mRNA codon recognition, and the 3' end, to which the tRNAs corresponding amino acid is attached (by aminoacyl-tRNA synthetases). tRNAs cope with the degeneracy of the genetic code in two manners: having more than one tRNA (with a specific anti-codon) for a particular amino acid; and 'wobble' base-pairing, i.e. permitting non-standard base-pairing at the 3rd anti-codon position. Lineage: Eukaryota; Metazoa; Mollusca; Cephalopoda; Octopoda; Octopodidae. RNAcentral also lists the same sequence under 2 other names. The record is from Rfam by way of RNAcentral.
GGGGAUGUAGCUCAGUGGUAGAGCGUUCGCUUCGCAUGUGAAAUGUCCCGGGUUCAAUCCCCGGCAUCUCCA